This 425-nucleotide ribosomal RNA is filed under the name uncultured bacterium. RNAcentral's name for it is "partial 16S ribosomal RNA". It matches the Rfam family "Bacterial small subunit ribosomal RNA", at positions 354 to 796 of the family's 1533-position model. The record is from RNAcentral.
GUUAGGAAUAUUGGACAAUGGGCGCAAGCCUGAUCCAGCCAUGCCGCGUGAACGAUGAAGGCCUUCGGGUUGUAAAGUUCUUUAGCCGAUGAUUAUAAUGACUGUAGUCGGAAAAUAAGCCCCGGCUAACUUCGUGCCAGCAGCCGCGGUAAUACGAAGGGGGCGAGCGUUAUUCGGAAUCACUGGGCGUAAAGCGUGCGUAGGCGGUCUCGUAAGUUAGGAGUGAAAGCCCAGGGCUCAACCUUGGAAUUGCUCUUAAAACUGCAAGGCUAGAAGUUCGGGGAGGAUAGGGGAAUUUCCAGUGUAGCAGUGAAAUGCGUAGAUAAUGGAAGGAACCCCAGUGGCGUAAGCGGCUAUCUGGACGAGUAUUGACGCUGAGGCACGAAAGCGUUGGGAUCAAAAAGGAUUAAAUACCCUUGUAGUCC